CUCAUCCAACCUUAGGCAUGAACGUGGUGGGUAACUUUAGGACAGUCACCCCCUCUCAGCCCUAGGAAGGAGGCAAGGGCAAACCACUUCCAAAAAUCUUGCCAAGAAAACUGCAGGGACUAGUCCAGGCAGUUGCUAGCAAUCAACACUGGCUCGAAGGUACACUUUCAUACACACAGAAAGGUUGGUACACUGUUGGCAAACUCCUUUCUGCUAUAGAUAACAGCUCACCAGCUACUAUGCCUUCACAGGUUUUUGAAAAGGAUUAGUGGAGGGGAAUUCCUCACUGAUGAGCAGAUUUCCAUCCCUGCCCAAAAUGGAGCAAUUAACAAGCCCAGCUGCAUGAAGUGGUAUACUUCAAAUACACCCCCAUCAGAAUGAAUCAGCCCAACAUGGAACAUCCCAUAAGCCCUGGAGAUUCCUUCUGAGGCAGGACAGACUUUGACCUUUUAUCCCAUUGAGAUAGGAGAACUUCACCUUCAUUCUAUAUGAACAUGAUUGCAUUUUCCUCCCUGCCCUCUGGAUAUAAACCUCUUGUUGAUUUUCUACUUUCAGCCUGUACCUAGCUUCCAAAACAGUUGUUACAGAUUCCAUCCAUUCCUUCACUUGGCUUGAUCCUUCCCUGCAGCAAUUUGCAUUUUUAUUGUCCAAUGUUGUGUCUCUCCAUUGCUGCAUUUCAAACUGUGCGCUCCAUAUAUUUGAAAGAGGCAUUAAAAUUCAGAGCCUGUGUACAGCACAGCCUCCUUAUUAAUUAAUGAGCACCCAGCAUGAACAAUCACACACACACACACACACAGGCUGCUGCAUUUGUCAGAAGCACCAUGGGGAGCAUGAGUACAUUUAAUAAAAUUGUCUUGCAUACUUGA
Long non-coding RNA from Candoia aspera, 866 nucleotides. RefSeq lists it as uncharacterized. Lineage: Eukaryota; Metazoa; Chordata; Lepidosauria; Squamata; Candoiidae. The transcript has 2 exons. The record is from RefSeq and is a predicted model, not a curated record.